RNAcentral lists this long non-coding RNA (235 nucleotides) under Olea europaea (common olive). RNAcentral's name for it is "long non-coding RNA (OEUR_LNC012044)". The record is from RNAcentral. Lineage: Eukaryota; Viridiplantae; Streptophyta; Magnoliopsida; Lamiales; Oleaceae.
GGCGAUUGUAAGGCACUUUAUUCGCUCAGAUCUUGGGCGUCCUGCAGACUUGGGCGAUGAUGUUACUAUGUUCACGGGCUUCCACCGCAUUUAUUAAUAACCCUAUCUGGGCCUUUAUCCUGAAUUGUCUAGUUGAGCUUCAUUUUUUGAGUUAUUCGAUUUGGAUUGCACUUUUAGUGUGUCAACAGAUUUAAAAAAAAAAUUAUACUGAGAAAUCAAGUUUUUUAGAUUUUUU